UCUAUUUUUAGUUCUUUGAGAAGUCUCCAUACUGCUUUCCAUAAAUGUUGUACUAAUUUACAUUCCCAUCAACACUGUAAAAGAGUUCCCUUUUCACCACGUCCUUGCCUACAAUUGUUAUUUUUGUCUUUUUAGGAAUAGCCAUCCUAACUAUGGUAAGAUGAUAUCGCAUUGUGGUUUUGAUAUGCAUUUCCCUGAGAAUUCAUGAUUUUGACCAUUUGUUCAUAUAGCUCUUGGUCAUUUGUAUGUCUCCUUUUGAGAAAUGUGUAUUCAUGUCCUCUGCCCACAUCUUGUUGGGA
Long non-coding RNA from Sapajus apella (tufted capuchin), 299 nucleotides. RefSeq lists it as uncharacterized. The record is from RefSeq and is a predicted model, not a curated record. The transcript has 3 exons. Lineage: Eukaryota; Metazoa; Chordata; Mammalia; Primates; Cebidae.